This 750-nucleotide unclassified non-coding RNA is filed under the name Hevea brasiliensis (rubber tree). Lineage: Eukaryota; Viridiplantae; Streptophyta; Magnoliopsida; Malpighiales; Euphorbiaceae. The record is from RNAcentral.
AAGAUGGUUUACAAACUCAAACGUUAAAGAAGGCUAUCUGUUAAAAAUCCAUGAAUUGUAUUCUAUCAAUCUUUUUAUGAAACAUGGAAAUAAAAGAGAAAGUGAAGACAAAAAUUCAUGACCCCUUGGACAAGAAACCUUGACUCUUUCACUUUGUUAAUCAUGUACUCAGAACUAUUGCACCUAGAACUUCAGUCAAUCAAAGGAAAUUCUAUCAAAAUGAUUCCUCCUAUAUCUCAUUCUAAUUCUCUUUUUAAAUAAACAAAAUUGAAGAGGAUGGAAUAAUUAAAAAAAUAGGGAAAAAAAACCCAUCACCAAACACAUUAUUAAAAUUGCAUUCUUCAAAUGGCUUUUACGAUAAAAGGUUGAUAAUAUUUUUCCAGUAAUAAAGUAACUAAGUAUUCUUUUUCUUAAAAAAGUAUGCCAGACAUAAACUUCUUUUGUAUACAGCAAGCAUACUAGGGUUCCAUUAUCCUUUGUUGCUUUGGAUAAAUUCAUUAUGUUUCAAAAAAGAAUAGUUCCAUAACAGUAUUUAACAACAUUAAAAUUCAUGAUAAGUUAAGUACUUUCUUUACAGCCUUAACUAUCAUAAUUGCUCUGAAAUCUACUAGAUCGUAACGAAUAACUAACAGUUGGCAAAUGGGAUUAUGCAAAGAUAAUAAUUUUAUCUAUCUUGAUCAUACAACUGAAAUGAUAAUUCAGGUGGUGAGAACAAGUAACUUUUUCAACAUACCCUCUUUGCUUUCAAUU